AACGAACGCUGGCGGCAUGCCUAACACAUGCAAGUCGAACGAGACCUUCGGGUCUAGUGGCGAACGGGUGCGUAACGCGUGGGAACCUGCCUUUAGGUUCGGAAUAACUCAGAGAAAUUUGAGCUAAUACCGGAUGAUGUCUUCGGACCAAAGAUUUAUCGCCUUUAGAUGGGCCCGCGUUGGAUUAGCUAGUUGGUGGGGUAAAGGCCUACCAAGGCGACGAUCCAUAGCUGGUCUGAGAGGAUGAUCAGCCACACUGGGACUGAGACACGGCCCAGACUCCUACGGGAGGCAGCAGUGGGGAAUAUUGGACAAUGGGCGAAAGCCUGAUCCAGCAAUGCCGCGUGAGUGAUGAAGGCCUUAGGGUUGUAAAGCUCUUUUACCCGAGAUGAUAAUGACAGUAUCGGGAGAAUAAGCGCCGGCUAACUCCGUG
RNAcentral lists this ribosomal RNA (433 nucleotides) under uncultured bacterium. RNAcentral describes it as "partial 16S ribosomal RNA". It matches the Rfam family "Bacterial small subunit ribosomal RNA", at positions 29 to 507 of the family's 1533-position model. The record is from RNAcentral.